Molecule: ribosomal RNA, 516 nt
Filed under: Triticum aestivum (bread wheat)
Lineage: Eukaryota; Viridiplantae; Streptophyta; Magnoliopsida; Poales; Poaceae
Description: partial small subunit ribosomal RNA
Source: RNAcentral
CUCUCCUUCUGCCAGCGGUCCGGCGGUUCCCAGUUCUGGCAAUCCAUCAUACAGCUCCUCCCAGUCCUCUGCAUUGGAUCUUCGAUUGCGGUUGGGUCUGCCACUGCCGUGCUAUUUUGGUUCGAUCGCUGGGCUGGGGACGCCCCCUUCGCGGCUUGUUUACCUGACAUGUUCUCCAUCGCGGUUGACCCGCGGAUUUUUGUCGCGACGGCCCUUAUUGACUUAGGGCAACUCGCAUUCCAGCGACAAUUUAGUCCAGCGCAGAAUGUGGCUUGGCAUGACUUGCUCGACUGCAUUGCGCUGCAUGUGCCUGAGAUAAAGAUGGGAGAUGACCGCACCAGGUGGCAGCUAGAGCCAUCUGGUCUAUUCUCUACUAAAUCACUCUACCAGGCGAUCGCCCCCCCUCCGGGUCCUGAGGCUCUUACCACCAUCUGGGAGAUCUGGCUCCCCUUGAAAAUUAGGAUAUUCCUGUGCAAUGGAUCCGUGGUUGCCUCCCUUCUGGAGUGGAAGUCCUAA